CCUGGCGGCUUUAGCGCGGUGGUCCCACCUGACCCCAUGCCGAACUCAGAAGUGAAACGCCGUAGCGCCGAUGGUAGUGUGGGGCCUCCCCAUGC
This 95-nucleotide ribosomal RNA is filed under the name Erwinia sp. Leaf53. Lineage: Bacteria; Pseudomonadati; Pseudomonadota; Gammaproteobacteria; Enterobacterales; Erwiniaceae. The record is from RNAcentral.